RNAcentral lists this ribosomal RNA (412 nucleotides) under gamma proteobacterium HPC 1049. RNAcentral describes it as "partial 16S ribosomal RNA". The stretch from base 168 to 412 matches the Rfam family "Bacterial small subunit ribosomal RNA", at positions 1 to 440 of the family's 1533-position model. Lineage: Bacteria; Pseudomonadati; Pseudomonadota; Gammaproteobacteria. The record is from RNAcentral.
UCGGCAUUGUUGGCGAGGCUACCUGUGUUUUACGUUGCAACUUUCACAGUGCUGUGAACAUACUCUGGAAUCGGGGUGAUUCUCUGAUCUAUCAACCUGACGGUACAGCCCUGGGUGGCUCCAAUGGCACUUUUGCCCUGCAAACAGCGGGCACGGCCAUCGAGCACCGGGUGGUGGUCUCAUUGCUGGGCCGGGUGCGUACUGAAGUGAUCAACCCCUGAAACGAAACGGGUUCCAUCGGGAUGGGGCCCGACCACAAGUCGUAACAAGGUAACCGUAACUCACUGGGACUGAAACACGGCCCAGACUCCUACGGGAGGCAGCAGUGGGGAAUAUUGGACAAUGGGGGCAACCCUGAUCCAGCCAUGCCGCGUGUGUGAAGAAGGCCUUCGGGUUGUAAAGCACUUUCAGC